AUCCCCAAUGCCUGAUAGCGGAAUUUCGGAUAGUAUGGACUAUAACACCCCUUCUGAGUAAGAAACAGACGAAAACACAUUACCGAUAUCCCAUUAGAAAGAACAGGCUUGGAAAAAGGGACAAAUAUUAUUGCUUUUAUGGCUUCUAGGGAAGAAAAUCUAUCACAUUACUUUCAUCAAUGCAGCCUCAUUCUCCGACACAACCUACGGCAGUAAUCAUACCGCAGCUUUGGAAACAAGAUUUGCAAAUAGCAAGGUGGCUAUUACAAGAAUUGAUAAGGUUAUCUGAACACACGCAGUCUAUUUGCAAUGAAGAGGGAUACCUUCGCGGAGAACUUUCUACAAGAAACUGGCUCUUAUUCAGGUUACACACAGGGAAAACCACGAAAACCCC
Stegodyphus dumicola is the source of this 394-nucleotide long non-coding RNA. The record is from RefSeq and is a predicted model, not a curated record. NCBI's taxonomy places the organism in Eukaryota, Metazoa, Arthropoda, Arachnida, Araneae, Eresidae.